CGGAGGAUCCGAGCGUUAUCCGGAUUUAUGGGUUUAAAGGGUGCGUAGGCGGCCUGUUAAGUCAGGGGUGAAAGACGGUAGCUCAACUAUCGCAGUGCCCUUGAUACUGAUGGGCUUGAAUGUACUAGAGGUAGGCGGAAUGUGACAAGUAGCGGUGAAAUGCAUAGAUAUGUCACAGAACACCAAUUGCGAAGGCAGCUUACUAUGGUAUUAUUGACGCUGAGGCACGAAAGCGUGGGGAUCAAACAGGAUUAGAUACCCUGGUAGUCCACGCCCUAAACGAUGAAUACUCGAUGUUAGCGAUAUACAGUUAGCGUCAAAGCGAAAGCGUUAAGUAUUCCACCUGGGGAGUACGCCCGCAAGGGUG
RNAcentral lists this ribosomal RNA (367 nucleotides) under uncultured organism. RNAcentral's name for it is "bacterial SSU rRNA". It matches the Rfam family "Bacterial small subunit ribosomal RNA", at positions 526 to 896 of the family's 1533-position model. The record is from RNAcentral.